GUAGGUGGCAAGCGUUGUCCGGAAUUAUUGGGCGUAAAGCGCGCGCAGGCGGUCCUUUAAGUCUGAUGUGAAAGCCCACGGCUCAACCGUGGAGGGUCAUUGGAAACUGGGGGGACUUGAGUACAGAAGAGGAAAGCGGAAUUCCAAGUGUAGCGGUGAAAUGCGUAGAGAUUUGGAGGAACACCAGUGGCGAAGGCGGCUUUCUGGUCUGUAACUGACGCUGAGGCGCGAAAGCGUGGGGAGCAAACAGGAUUAGAUACCCUGGUAGUCCACGCCGUAAACGAUGAGUGCUAAGUGUUAGGGGGUUUCCCGCCCCCCUUAGUGCUGCAGCUAACGCAUUAAGCACUCCGCCUGGGGAGUACGGCCCGCAAGGCUG
This 376-nucleotide ribosomal RNA is filed under the name uncultured organism. RNAcentral describes it as "partial 16S ribosomal RNA". It matches the Rfam family "Bacterial small subunit ribosomal RNA", at positions 527 to 896 of the family's 1533-position model. The record is from RNAcentral.